AUUGAACGCUGGCGGCAGGCCUAACACAUGCAAGUCGAGCGGUUGAGGGGAGCUUGCUCCCUGAUUCAGCGGCGGACGGGUGAGUAAUGCCUAGGAAUCUGCCUAUUAGUGGGGGACAACGUUUCGAAAGGAACGCUAAUACCGCAUACGUCCUACGGGAGAAAGUAGGGGACCUUCGGGCCUUGCGCUAAUAGAUGAGCCUAGGUCGGAUUAGCUUGUUGGUGAGGUAAUGGCUCACCAAGGCGACGAUCCGUGACUGGUCUGAGAGGAUGAUCAGUCACACUGGAACUGAGACACGGUCAAGACGCCUACGGGAGGCAGCAUAGGGGAAGAUUGGACAAUGGGCGAAAGCCUGAGCCAGCCAUGCCGCGUGUGUGAAGAAGGUCUUCGGAUUGUAAAGCACUUUAGGUUGGGAGGAAGAGUUGUAGAUUAAUACUCUGCAAUUUUGACGUUACCGACAGAAUAAGCACCGGCUAACUCUGUGCCAGCCGCCGCCGUAA
This 500-nucleotide ribosomal RNA is filed under the name uncultured bacterium. Its description in RNAcentral is "partial 16S ribosomal RNA". It matches the Rfam family "Bacterial small subunit ribosomal RNA", at positions 30 to 523 of the family's 1533-position model. The record is from RNAcentral.